This 73-nucleotide transfer RNA is filed under the name Eschrichtius robustus (grey whale). RNAcentral's name for it is "tRNA-Gly". The record is from RNAcentral. Lineage: Eukaryota; Metazoa; Chordata; Mammalia; Artiodactyla; Eschrichtiidae.
UUCCCUGACCAGGGAUCGAACCUAGGGCCCCAGCAGUGGAAGUGCAGAGUCCUAACCACUGGACCACCAGGGA